GAUGAACGCUGGCGGCGUGCCUAAUACAUGCAAGUCGAGCGAACGGACGAGAAGCUUGCUUCUCUGAUGUUAGCGGCGGACGGGUGAGUAAUACGUGGAUAACCUCCCUAUAAGACUGGGAUAACUUCGGGAAACCGGAGCUAAUACCGGAUAAUAUUUUGAACCGCAUGGUUCAAAAGUGAAAGACGGUCUUGCUGUCACUUAUAGAUGGAUCCGCGCUGCAUUAGCUAGUUGGUAAGGUAACGGCUUACCAAGGCAACGAUGCAUAGCCGACCUGAGAGGGUGGUCGGCCACACUGGAACUGAGACACGGUCCAGACGCCUACGGGAGGCAGCAGUAGGGAAUCUUCCGCAAUGGGCGAAAGACUGACGGAGCAACGACGCGUGAGUGAUGAAGGUCUUCGGAUCGUAAAACUCUGUUAUUAGGGAAGAACAUAUGUGUAAGUAACUGUGCACAGCUUGACGGUACCUAAUCAGAAAGCCACGGCUAACUACGUG
RNAcentral lists this ribosomal RNA (497 nucleotides) under uncultured bacterium. RNAcentral's name for it is "partial 16S ribosomal RNA". It matches the Rfam family "Bacterial small subunit ribosomal RNA", at positions 28 to 507 of the family's 1533-position model. The record is from RNAcentral.